RNAcentral lists this ribosomal RNA (253 nucleotides) under uncultured bacterium. Its description in RNAcentral is "partial 16S ribosomal RNA". It matches the Rfam family "Bacterial small subunit ribosomal RNA", at positions 524 to 776 of the family's 1533-position model. The record is from RNAcentral.
UACGUAGGUGGCAAGCGUUGUCCGGAUUUACUGGGCGUAAAGGGUGCGUAGGCGGACAUUUAAGUCAGAUGUGAAAUACCCGAGCUUAACUUGGGUGCUGCAUUUGAAACUGGGUGUCUAGAGUGCAGGAGAGGUAAGUGGAAUUCCUAGUGUAGCGGUGAAAUGCGUAGAGAUUAGGAAGAACACCAGUGGCGAAGGCGACUUACUGGACUGUAACUGACGCUGAGGCAUGAAAGCGUGGGGAGCAAACAGG